AUUGAACGCUGGCGGCAUGCCUUACACAUGCAAGUCGAACGGUAACAGGUCUUCGGAUGCUGACGAGUGGCGAACGGGUGAGUAAUACAUCGGAACGUGCCUAGUAGUGGGGGAUAACUACUCGAAAGAGUGGCUAAUACCGCAUGAGAUCUACGGAUGAAAGCAGGGGAUCGCACGACCUUGUGCUACUAGAGCGGCCGAUGGCAGAUUAGGUAGUUGGUGGGAUAAAAGCUUACCUAGCCGACGAUCUGUAGCUGGACUGAGAGGACGAUCAGCCACACUGGGACUGAGACACGGCCCAGACUCCUACGGGAGGCAGCAGUGGGGAAUUUUGGACAAUGGGCGCAAGCCUGAUCCAGCAAUGCCGCGUGCAGGAUGAAGGCCUUCGGGUUGUAAACUGCUUUUGUACGGAACGAAAAGCCCUGGGUUAAUACCCUGGGGUCAUGACGGUACCGUAAGAAUAAGCACCGGCUAACUACGUGCCAGCCGCCGCCGUAA
This 498-nucleotide ribosomal RNA is filed under the name uncultured bacterium. Its description in RNAcentral is "partial 16S ribosomal RNA". It matches the Rfam family "Bacterial small subunit ribosomal RNA", at positions 30 to 523 of the family's 1533-position model. The record is from RNAcentral.